This 491-nucleotide ribosomal RNA is filed under the name uncultured bacterium. RNAcentral's name for it is "partial 16S ribosomal RNA". It matches the Rfam family "Bacterial small subunit ribosomal RNA", at positions 28 to 507 of the family's 1533-position model. The record is from RNAcentral.
GAUGAACGCUGGCUACAGGCUUAACACAUGCAAGUCGAGGGGAAACGACGGGGAAGCUUGCUUCCCCGGGCGUCGACCGGCGCACGGGUGAGUAACGCGUAUCCAACCUGCCUCUGACUGAGGGAUAACCCGUCGAAAGUCGGCCUAAUACCUCAUGGCAUCGUCUGCGGGCAUCCAACGACGAUUAAAGAUUUCAUCGGUCAGAGAUGGGGAUGCGUCUGAUUAGCUUGUUGGCGGGGUAACGGCCCACCAAGGCGACGAUCAGUAGGGGUUCUGAGAGGAAGGUCCCCCACAUUGGAACUGAGACACGGUCCAAACUCCUACGGGAGGCAGCAGUGAGGAAUAGUGGUCAAUGGGCGAGAGCCUGAACCAGCCAAGUAGCGUGCAGGAUGACGGCCCUAUGGGUUGUAAACUGCUUUUAUGCGGGGAUAAAGUGAGGGACGUGUCCUUCAUUGCAGGUACCGCAUGAAUAAGGACCGGCUAAUUCCGUG